Molecule: long non-coding RNA, 721 nt
Filed under: Homo sapiens (human)
Lineage: Eukaryota; Metazoa; Chordata; Mammalia; Primates; Hominidae
Description: HSALNT0377141
Source: RNAcentral
UAUUAUUUUAAUUAUUACAUAGUAAUAAUUCAGGCAAGAAUUAUUAAUGGUUUCUAAAACCAUUGGCUGAAAUGUUGUUGGGGAAGAGGAUGUUCACAGUCUCAAAGUAUCGUCCCAUAGAUUACUUACUAAUUACAAAGGGAAAAGGGAACUUUUAUGGUGGAGAAAUUUGGCAGAUACUGCUAUAACUAAGUGAUCAAACUUAACAUCAAUAAUAGACAAAUCAUCAUUAUGGCCUCUGAUGUGACAUAUGAGGACACAACACCACCUGCACAGAAUUCCUGCCAAAAAUAUUGAAUUUGAAUCUAAUCAAGAAUAAACAACCAAAUCAACCCAAAUUGAAGGACAUUCUGCAAAGCAACUGGCCUGGAUUCUUCAAACAGUCAGUGUCAUAAAAGACAAAAAGUCUGGGAACUAUCCCAGAUUAAAAGAAACUAACAAGACAUUCAACUAACUGCUAUCGAUGUGUAAUCGAUGAUUGGAUUUUGGAUACUGGAGGAAAAUUGGACUCUAAAGAAUAUUAUUAGCACAAGUACCAGGCACUGUUUCGGCACUUUACUGGGAUUGUCUCAUUUUAUUCUCACAAGAGCUCUGUGAGGAGGUACUAGUUUAAUGCCUAUUUUACAUAUGAAGAAACAGAGAGGAAGGUUACGUAACUGAUUACUGUCCUGUCCCAUUCAGUUUUAAGGGAAGAUGACUUUGGUUGAUGGAUUAGGCUGUC